UGAACGCUGACAGAAUGCUUAACACAUGCAAGUCAACUUGAACUUCGGUUUGGGUGGCGGACGGGUGAGUAACGCGUAAAGAACUUGCCUCACAGUUAGGGACAACAUUUGGAAACGAAUGCUAAUACCUGAUAUUAUGAUUUUAGGGCAUCCUAGAAUUAUGAAAGCUAUAUGCGCUGUGAGAGAGCUUUGCGUCCCAUUAGCUAGUUGGAGAGGUAACGGCUCACCAAGGCGAUGAUGGGUAGCCGGCCUGAGAGGGUGAACGGCCACAAGGGGACUGAGACACGGCCCUUACUCCUACGGGAGGCAGCAGUGGGGAAUAUUGGACAAUGGACCAAGAGUCUGAUCCAGCAAUUCUGUGUGCACGAUGAAGUUUUUCGGAAUGUAAAGUGCUUUCAGUUGGGAAGAAAAAAAUGACGAUACCAACAGAAGAAGUGACGGCUAAAUACGUG
Molecule: ribosomal RNA, 452 nt
Filed under: uncultured bacterium
Lineage: Bacteria
Description: partial 16S ribosomal RNA
Rfam family: Bacterial small subunit ribosomal RNA
Source: RNAcentral